GUCCACGCCGUAAACGAUGCUAACUCGUUUUGGAUCUUCGGAUUCAGAGACCAAGCGAAAGUGAUAAGUUAGCCACCUGGGGAGUACGUUCGCAAGAAUGAAACUCAAAGGAAUUGACGGGGGCCCGCACAAGCGGUGGAUUAUGUGGUUUAAUUCGAUGAUACGCGAGGAACCUUACCAAGACUUAAAUGGGAAAUGACAGGUUUGGAAACAGACCCUUCUUCGGACAUUUUUCAAGGUGCUGCAUGGUUGUCGU
Molecule: ribosomal RNA, 256 nt
Filed under: uncultured bacterium
Lineage: Bacteria
Description: partial 16S ribosomal RNA
Rfam family: Bacterial small subunit ribosomal RNA
Source: RNAcentral